Non-coding RNA from Paramuricea clavata, 128 nucleotides. Lineage: Eukaryota; Metazoa; Cnidaria; Anthozoa; Malacalcyonacea; Plexauridae. The record is from the annotation of a GenBank genome assembly.
UUUGUGUUUUCCUCCUGAAUUAUUGAGUUUUUUAAAUAUAUAUAUAUAUGUAUAUAUAUAUGUAUAUAUUUGUAUAUAUAUGUAUAUAUAUAUUUAAAAAACUCAAUAAUUCAUGAAGAAAACACAAA